Molecule: ribosomal RNA, 648 nt
Filed under: uncultured bacterium
Lineage: Bacteria
Description: bacterial SSU rRNA
Rfam family: Bacterial small subunit ribosomal RNA (bases 1-548)
Source: RNAcentral
CCUACGGGAGGCAGCAGUGAGGAAUAUUGGACAAUGGGCGCAAGCCUGAUCCAGCCAUGCCGCGUGCAGGAUGACGGUCCUAUGGAUUGUAAACUGCUUUUGUACAGGAAGAAACACUCCCUCGUGAGGGAGCUUGACGGUACUGUAAGAAUAAGGAUCGGCUAACUCCGUGCCAGCAGCCGCGGUAAUACGGAGGAUCCAAGCGUUAUCCGGAAUCAUUGGGUUUAAAGGGUCCGUAGGCGGUCAGAUAAGUCAGUGGUGAAAGCCCAUCGCUCAACGGUGGAACGGCCAUUGAUACUGUCUGACUUGAAUUAUUAGGAAGUAACUAGAAUAUGUAGUGUAGCGGUGAAAUGCUUAGAGAUUACAUGGAAUACCAAUUGCGAAGGCAGGUUACUACUAAUGGAUUGACGCUGAUGGACGAAAGCGUGGGUAGCGAACAGGAUUAGAUACCCUGGUAGUCCACGCCGUAAAACGAGUAGAGUACUAGUACUGUUGGGUAGGACGAAUUACUAGUGGUCGUAAGACGAAGUAGAGUAAGUAUACCCACCCGUCGGGAGGUACGUUCGUCGAAGAAAGUAGUAAACGUACGAAAGGAAAGUUAGUACGGACGUAGAGACGUUAGCCGACGGACGACGACGAGGGAGGAGG